AGAAAAGACCCUGAUGCUGGGAAAGAUUGAAGGCAGGAGGAGAAGGGGAUGACAGAGGAUGAGAUGGCUGGAUGGCAUCACCGACUCCAUGGACAUGAGUUUGAGCAAGCUCUGGGAGUUGGUGAUAGAGAAGCCUGGCAUGCUGCAGUCUAUGAGAUGGCAGACAUGACUGAGCGACUGAACUGACUGACUAGUGAUUUUGAAAAGUAAAAUUUUAAAAGAGUUUGUUUCACGUACUGAGAUAAAGUUGCUUAAUAAAAGCUUUAUCUGAAAAAAAAAAAAUGUUUUUAAAAGAACUUUUCGAGACACCUACUCAGACACAUGGCCAGAAGAUGGCGCAGGUUUUCCAUUACCUGAUUCACAUCAUCAGAAUGAAAUCUCUUUCAAAAGAAAUAGCUUGAUCUCAAAUACAGGAAAGAGUCCUCACUCUGAAAUGAGAACUAGAAUUUUUAAUACAGGAUGGAAUUAGGCAUCCUUUCUUCAGAGAAACCACCUUCCUCUAGAGAAAGAUUACUAGGUUAGGAUAUGUCCUCUGGGCUAAAACAGUGCUACACCCCAAAGGAAAGCCCUAUGUUGGCUGCAAAUCUCUGUGGAAUUUAGGAGCAACAGGAGUGAAAAGCAAAGGAACAGGGUAUCUAGUCCCAGGGCAGGUAGAGAUGAAUGCAACAGACUCUCUAAUCUUUUCUCUUCUUUUGCCUCCACUUUGACUUCUGGCAUCAGUGGUAGAACCCACCUCCUUGGCACAUCCACUGAACAGGAGGUAAGCAGUGAUGGGAGCACAGUACCAACCACAGGUGCAAAAGGCUUUGACCUUGAGGACCAAGCCCCCUGUGACUGCUUCCAAGAAACUUGCCCAGACAACUCCUGCAAGUGUGGCUGACAGCCUUCUCUGCCAUUCACAGAACCCACUAACAGGGUAAAUGUUAUUCCUUAAAAUGAGAUGCUUCACUGAGGACCUGACUCCACCUGCUGAGAGCUGCUGCAGAGGACACUGCCAGAGGCUCUGGGAGUGGAGGCCCACUUCCCACUCACACUUGCCUGGAGACCCACUGCAGACAGGAGACCACUGUUCCUGCUGACAUGUCUCCUGCCCAGACUUCUGCUUGGAGAGGUUCCUUACCCCCUUUUCUAUAUUCCCAAAUUUGACUAAUG
Molecule: long non-coding RNA, 1152 nt
Organism: Bos taurus (domestic cattle)
Lineage: Eukaryota; Metazoa; Chordata; Mammalia; Artiodactyla; Bovidae
Source: Ensembl